UGGGAAGAAAAAUAGAUCCCAUUGAGCAAUUGUGUUUAGAGUGAUGCUAAUGUUGACAUAUCCACCAUGUCCUAAGCUUGCAUUGAGAGUACAUCUUACCAUGACUGAUAAAUUGUCCGUGACUUAAUAGUUGUUGAGGAUUAUAAUAAUUGAUUGCUCUUCUCUUUUGUUUGUACAUAAGGCUGCAGAAAGUAAUUAUAAACAGUCACUUUUGUUGUGGUUUCAUGAACCUUUUCCGUGUUUACUCAGUCUAAUAUCUAGUACUGGGUGAACUUUUCCAUGAUGGAUACACAUUUUAUGGAGCAUAGAUGCAUAAUAUGUAUCAACCAUUAAAUCUACAUCUUUAAAAUUCAUCAUCUUAUUUAACCCAAGCAUUUAUCAUAUUAACAUAACGUACUUUUUCUUGCUGUUCUAAAUUUAUUAGUUAUUUAAAUAUUUUGUUCUGCAUUUUGUCAAUCAUGGUGAUCUGAUAUGCUCUCACUGCAAUCAUGGUGAUCUGAUAUGCUCUCACUUUGUACAAAAGGCUGCAGAAAGCAAUUAUAAACAGUCACUGGUUUCAUGAACCUUUUCUGUGUUUACUCAGUCUAAUAUCUAGUAUCGGGUGAACUUUUCCAUGAUGGAUACACAUUUUAUGGAGCAUAAAUGCGUAAUAUGAAUCAACCAUUAUAUCUACAUCUUUAAAAUUCAUCAUCUUAUUUAACCCAAGCAUUUAUCAUAUUAACAUAACAUACUUUUUCUUGCUGUUCUAAAUUUAUUAGUUAUUUAAAUAUUUUGUUCUUUGUCAAUCAUGGUGAUAUGAUAUGCUCUCACUGCAAUCUUAAAACAGUUUAAAUUAGGGGAAAUUAUGAUCUAAUCAUGGCUUUCGUUAAGGGUGCUCAUGUCUUAGGACUGUUAUAGCAUGUUUUAAUACUUAAGAUUUUUGUGUUAGACAUGCUUUCGUUAUUGUUUGUGGAAUAUUUAGCCUUACGAGUAUUGGCUUACAUUUUGGAAUUGUUCAAUGGAUAAACAAGAAGGAUCUUAUCCUAUUCGCCUAUUAGUGAUGUGAUGGAUAUCAAACUGUCUAAAACUUUGACGCAUGCAUUUGUUUCAUUGUUUCUUGCUAAUUUUUGUCUGAAUGUGCUGCUCUUGAGGAUCAAACAUCAGGUUCGUUUAGAAAAUGUGGUCGAGUGAAAUAGGAACUAGAAUUGGAGAUUGUUAGGAAUUGGUUGUGUCCAAACAAUUCCUCUAGCUUAUGCGGACCACAUAUGAUUUCUUUCUUGUGAUGCGCACACCAUGAUAUGGUUGAGUUCUUAAUGGUUCUUGUGAUAACUUUGGUUCUCUUUAUUUUUUUCUUGUUGUUUGAUGGCUAGUGCCAAUUAGAAAUUCUCUGGUGUGCAUUCUUGGCUUAGAGCUAUUGCAUGAAUUAAUUAAUGUCAGAUCUUAACCGAUUAUUGGCUUUUCUAUUUGAGCAUUUUAUUUCCUUAAGUCGUUUAAUAUAUUAGAAUUUUCUCACUGGUGAUCAUGCACUUACUGGUCAUUUAUUUAUUCAACUGUGACCAGCAUCUAUAUUGGACUUGUGUUGUAUGUAUGUGUCAAAUACAUGUAUCUGACC
Molecule: long non-coding RNA, 1591 nt
Filed under: Musa acuminata (dwarf banana)
Lineage: Eukaryota; Viridiplantae; Streptophyta; Magnoliopsida; Zingiberales; Musaceae
Description: long non-coding RNA (MACU_LNC006411)
Source: RNAcentral